AUUGAACGCUGGCGGCAGGCCUAACACAUGCAAGUCGAGCGAGCGGCGGACGGGUGAGUAAUGCCUGGGAAUUGCCCAGUCGAGGGGGAUAACAGUUGGAAACGACUGCUAAUACCGCAUACGAUUGGAUUGCCCAGGUGGGAUUAGCUCGUAGGGGGGGUAAUGGCUCACAAAGGCGCCAUUCCCUAGCUGGUCUGAGAGGAUGAUCAGCCAGACUUGAAAGGAGACAAGGUCCAGCAUCCUACGGGAGGCAGCAGUGGGGAAUAUUGCGACAGGGGGGAAACCCUGAUGCAGCCAUGCCGCGUGUGUGAAGAAGGCCUUCGGGUUGUAAAGCACUUUCAGCGAGGAGGCGUUACUCGCAGAAGAAGCACCGGCUAACUCCGUGCCAGCAGCCGCGGUAAUAC
RNAcentral lists this ribosomal RNA (404 nucleotides) under uncultured bacterium. RNAcentral's name for it is "partial 16S ribosomal RNA". It matches the Rfam family "Bacterial small subunit ribosomal RNA", at positions 30 to 526 of the family's 1533-position model. The record is from RNAcentral.